Molecule: long non-coding RNA, 810 nt
Organism: Cynara cardunculus var. scolymus (artichoke)
Lineage: Eukaryota; Viridiplantae; Streptophyta; Magnoliopsida; Asterales; Asteraceae
Exons: 2
Source: RefSeq, a predicted model, not a curated record
AACAUCAAAAUAAAUCCCCAACCUCAAUCAAUAUGAAGAAUCCUAAAUCCCUUCUCUUCCUCUUCCUCUUCCUCUUCUUCCCUUCUGACUCGCUUCAAAACGUAAACACUGAAGACCAGCAACCACAUCCUUAUUGGCUUAAGAUGAAGGCUCUUUUCAAUCAUGCCACCUCCUACCUCUUCCCUCCCAACUUAGAUUUCAGGGGAAGAAUUAGCAAUGAUGAACCUGUCAUAGAAAGUGAAGGUGGAAGUGGGAGCAAGGUUAAAGAAGCCGUGGCCAAGAGUCUAGAUAAAGGAACGGCUACCGUUGAGGAAUCAGCCAAAUCCGCUGCUGAAAAGAUGCACCAGACUGCACAAAAGCUCAAGAACGCUUUCUCAUCCCAUCAUCAUCAACCCCCCCAAGAGCUCUGACCAUAUCCACCUUUUUUGUGCUGUUCCUAAAUCCUAAAUCCUAAAUAGCAUGUCCUCCUAUUUCAAGUUUUUAUAUAAUCUUUGAUAGCUUCUUUCUGUCAUUCAUCUGUUUCCACAUAAACAAGCAUCAACAACGAAAGGAAUUAAUGAUUUGAGAUGCUGCUGUCAAACAAGUAGGUGUGUGUUCUCCAUUCGACAAUACAAAACAAAAAGAGAUUGAUUUAUUUGGGGAAGUUCCUUAUAAAGAUCCACCGUUGAAAACCAAACUAGAAACAAUGGAAAAAGCGGACUUCAAUCGUCCUCAUUUCUGACACUGCCAAUACCAAGCGCCACUGCAAUCACAACAAGAUACUGUUAAUAUACUCUUUUUCUUUCAUCAACACAACACAACAAGCAAACA